This is a non-coding RNA of Pelobates cultripes (western spadefoot toad), 214 nucleotides long. The record is from the annotation of a GenBank genome assembly. Lineage: Eukaryota; Metazoa; Chordata; Amphibia; Anura; Pelobatidae.
GUCAUAUUGUGAAAACUAUCAGGACUACGGCUUAGCCGUUUACAUGUUUAGUGGCAGCAGGGAUAGCUGAACGUUUUGAUAUAAGAUUUGCGUAGGUGGGCUUGAAAAUGAGGAAGUGGUGGCAGUUUAGAAAUCAUGUCCUGAUUUUUCAGCUUUUGGCAGCUCCCACUCUAGCUUUGCCAUUCAUUCCUAUGGGACAAAUUGCGCCACAAAA